UACGGGGGGGGUAAGCGUUGUUCGGAAUUACUGGGCGUAAAGGGCUCGUAGGUGGCCAACUAAGUCAUGCGUGAAAUCCCUCGGCUUAACCGGGGAACUGCGUCUGAUACUGGAUGGCUUGAAUCCGGGAGAGGGAUGCGGAAUUCCAGGUGUAGCGGUGAAAUGCGUAGAUAUCUGGAGGAACACCGGUGGCGAAGGCGGCAUCCUGGACCGGCAUUGACACUGAGGAGCGAAAGCCAGGGGAGCAAACGGG
RNAcentral lists this ribosomal RNA (253 nucleotides) under uncultured bacterium. RNAcentral describes it as "partial 16S ribosomal RNA". It matches the Rfam family "Bacterial small subunit ribosomal RNA", at positions 524 to 776 of the family's 1533-position model. The record is from RNAcentral.